GACGAACGCUGGCGGCGUGCUUAACACAUGCAAGUCGAACGGAAAGGCCCUGCUUUUGUGGGGUGCUCGAGUGGCGAACGGGUGAGUAACACGUGAGUAACCUGCCCUUGACUUUGGGAUAACUUCAGGAAACUGGGGCUAAUACCGGAUAGGAGCUCCUGCUGCAUGGGGGGGGUUGGAAAGUUUCGGCGGUUGGGGAUGGACUCGCGGCUUAUCAGCUGGUUGGUGGGGUAGUGGCUUACCAAGGCUUUGACGGGUAGCCGGCCUGAGAGGGUGACCGGCGACAUUGGGACUGAGAUACGGCCCAGAAUCCUACGGGAGGCAGCAGUGGGGAAUAUUGCACAAUGGGCGGAAGCCUGAUGCAGCAACGCCGCGUGCGGGAUGACGGCCUUCGGGUUGUAAACCGCUUUCGACUGUGACGAAGCGUGAGUGACGGUAAUGGGUAAAGAAGCACCGGCUAACUACGUG
Molecule: ribosomal RNA, 468 nt
Filed under: uncultured bacterium
Lineage: Bacteria
Description: partial 16S ribosomal RNA
Rfam family: Bacterial small subunit ribosomal RNA
Source: RNAcentral